AGUGAACGCUGGCGGUAGGCCUAACACAUGCAAGUCGAACGGCAGCACAGUAAGAGCUUGCUCUUACGGGUGGCGAGUGGCGGACGGGUGAGGAAUACAUCGGAAUCUACUUUUUCGUGGGGGAUAACGUAGGGAAACUUACGCUAAUACCGCAUACGACCUACGGGUGAAAGCAGGGGAUCUUCGGACCUUGCGCGAUUGAAUGAGCCGAUGUCGGAUUAGCUAGUUGGCGGGGUAAAGGCCCACCAAGGCGACGAUCCGUAGCUGGUCUGAGAGGAUGAUCAGCAACACUGGAACUGAGACACGUUCCAGACUCCUACGGGAGGCAGCAGUGGGUAAUCUUGGACAAUGGGCGCAAGCCUGAUCCAGCCAUACCGCGUGGGUGAAGAAGGCCUUCGGGUUGUAAAGCCCUUUUGUUGGGAAAGAAAAGCAGCAGGUUAAUACCCCGCUGUUCUGACGGUACCCAAAGAAUAAGCACCGGCUAACUUCGU
RNAcentral lists this ribosomal RNA (491 nucleotides) under uncultured bacterium. RNAcentral describes it as "partial 16S ribosomal RNA". It matches the Rfam family "Bacterial small subunit ribosomal RNA", at positions 29 to 506 of the family's 1533-position model. The record is from RNAcentral.